UCAAUAAGCGGAGGAAAAGAAACUAACAAGGAUUCCCCUAGUAACGGCGAGUGAAGAGGGAAGAGCCCAAGUUUGAAAGCUGGCGUUUGUAUUCAGGCGUCCGCAUUGUAAACUCGAGAAGUGUUAUCCGCGCCGGACCAGGUUCAAGUCCCUUGGAAUAGGGCAUCAUAGAGGGUGAAAGUCCCGUGCUUGAUCUGGAACCCCCGGGGCUUUGUGAUGCGCUCUCAAAGAGUCGAGUUGUUUGGGAAUGCAGCUCAAAAUGGGUGGUAAAUGCCAUCUAAGGCUAAAUAUCGAGGAGAGACCGAUAGCGAACAAGUACCGUGAGGGAAAGAUGAAAAGAACUUUGGAAAGAGAGUUAAACAGUACGUGAAAUUGCCGGAAGGGAAGGGUAGGAAGUCAGACAUGCCUUUGCAGAUUCAGCCUUGUCUUUGGACUUGGUGCAUUUUUGUAAUGGCAGGCCAGCGUCGGUUUGUGUCGCCGGAUAUAGGUUUAGGGAAUGUGGCUUUACCUUCGGGCAAAGUGUUAUAGGCCUUUACUGAGUACGGCGGUGUGGACCGAGGAACGCAGCGCACCCAUUAGGGCGGGCCUUCGGGCACCUUUGCGCUUAGGAUGCUGGCUUAAUGGCUUUCUGCCGCCCGUCYUGAAACACGGACCAAGGAGUCU
This 663-nucleotide ribosomal RNA is filed under the name Urocystis anemones. RNAcentral's name for it is "LSU rRNA". It matches the Rfam family "Eukaryotic large subunit ribosomal RNA", at positions 43 to 676 of the family's 3401-position model. The record is from RNAcentral. Lineage: Eukaryota; Fungi; Basidiomycota; Ustilaginomycetes; Urocystidales; Urocystidaceae.